AGUCAAUUCACUGCUUCCUCUUUAAAUCUCAGAGAAGGCUGAUAUGUCAAUGUGGAGGGGUCUGGUAUGAAAUCUCUAGGAUAUGGUGGUCACUCCACUUGGGAGAUGUGAACCUGGAACACGUUGAAUUCAACAUCUCUGAGCCUCAGUUUCUUACACUGAAAGUGAAGCAAAUUGAACCAGGUAUACUGGAAUACACCUGCCACCCUAGCAACUGGAAGACUAAAGCAGGAGAAUGAAUACUUUGAAGCCAGCCUGGGCUACACAAGAAACAGGGCAAAGGCCCCCGAGAGUGAAAAGGAAUGAAAAGUGGAUUCUGUUUGAGAGACUGCAGAAGGAAUGUGGCCUUGCUGGUCUAUUUUUCACUUCUGAUUUCCAAAGACAUAGGAGAGGAAUAUUUGGCAAUGUAUGAAGACAUUGGUUAUAAAACCUAGAAAAUAGAAGCCUGAGAUGCUAGUCAACAUCCUACAGGAUCUGACAUCCUGAAAUAAAAACUAUCUGCC
Mesocricetus auratus (golden hamster) is the source of this 503-nucleotide long non-coding RNA. RefSeq lists it as uncharacterized. The record is from RefSeq and is a predicted model, not a curated record. NCBI's taxonomy places the organism in Eukaryota, Metazoa, Chordata, Mammalia, Rodentia, Cricetidae. The transcript has 3 exons.